Gallus gallus (chicken) is the source of this 2495-nucleotide long non-coding RNA. The record is from Ensembl. Lineage: Eukaryota; Metazoa; Chordata; Aves; Galliformes; Phasianidae.
UGGGAAUGCAAGAGAAGCAGUUUAGUGGGCAAAAAUUCCAAUGGUCUCACAAUCAGAACAUUUGUUAACAAUGUGCAUCAACAUACAAAGGAGUGCACAAUAAUAGGUUUAGCAAAUAAUGAUUGUUUGGUGGGAACAGCAAAUCCUCUCCUUGAAGCAGACUGGAAGCUUCAUUGGCUGUGGCAGGAAGGAAUUACUCUGCACUGAUCUUAACAGAAAAUAUACUGUGCUUUGAAAGUUAAACUUCAACAGGGCUGUAAAACACAACUUUGUACAGGAGAAAAUGCUCGGUUUUGUUUUUUCUUUGCUUUGAAGAGGCAUUAAAGUGAAAUGUGCUGGAAUCCCAGGAGUGGUACCAAUGUUACGAGAAAUACAGUGCUCCAAAGAUACUAUGAAGGCAAAUUUUGCAGGGACAGGUAAAGGAACGCCAACUUAUUGCCAGUGGGAGGUCGAGUAUUUACCUGAAUGUGGAAGCACUCUCCCGGACAUUUCAGAGCAAUCAGGUGAAUGCGGCCAUAUUAUCCUCUGCUGGAAGUAUGAAUAGAGAAACACACUUCUGAUUCAUCACUGAACACCAUGGAGUUGCUCGACACAAAGGGCAUCUUGAAGGGAUGCCUCUAAAUAGCUACGACACAGCCAACAUUGGAUCUGUUUAAAGGGAUACACAAAGUCAAGAAAAUUCCCCAUCACCGUGCAGGGCUCAGCCAAAUUCUGGCCCUUAAAAGGCAAGCAGAGGUGACUGCUUGAAGACCAAAACUACUCUUGCUCCCUGGAACCCUGUCAGAUGAAUGAUCCUUCUCUUUUCUUCUCCCACUCUUGCAUCACGAGAAUGAGUGAGUUUCCCAGAUUAUAGAGGUUUUGGGUUUUUUUAACUGUAAAAGAAACAGAUCCCUUGUGUGGAGUUUGUUUGUUUGUAUCUUGUUUUGUUUUGUUUUAACUGCAUUUAAACCAAAACCUGCAGCUCUGUCCAUAGCUAGCACUAUUCUUCCUGGCUUGAAAAGCAGCUUUGGGGAGUAGCUUGGCAGAAGCUUUGUUUGUAAUCUCCUAGAAAAACAAGGCCGAGUGGGAUCAUUUUUACAACCCAUCGCUGCUCUGAGCAUUUGGACCAGAGCAUGUAAAAACAGGAUAUAAAGCUAACUAUCAAUCUCUUCACCAUCUUUCCACUUUCCUCGAUGAAAAAAGCAGCUGACAAGGGUCAAGUGAAGUGCCAUUUUCCAGUCUUACACACAUUAUUGUAAUUUCAGAUAAACAAGGCACUAGAGGUAAUUGUUCCUGUUUUACAAAUUACUAAUUACGAUAGCCAAGGUUAAAAGGUUUAGACAGCUUCCUUCCUUCUCUCUGGCAGUCAACAAUAUUUAAGAAAGAAAAGAAAAUAGCGUCUCAAAGGAAAAAUAACUUGAUUCAUCUUAAAGACACAAACCAAAUUAACAAUACAAAUGUGACAAAUACCUGUAAAGAUUUGAUUUUAUGAAAGUCUAGGUCCUUUAGUCAUGUUAAUCACAGAAUAUCCACCUGAAAGAAUGAGUUAAGGUUGCCCUUCAGUAAUUAAAAGAUACAUGAAAGAAAUACCUGGACUUCACAAUUAGAGAUACUGUACAUUAUGUGAAUUGGGCUUUCCUUUCCGAUCUCAGUUGUUUUAUACAGAAAUUGAAUCAAUUUUUCACUAGUUCCAGGAAGUGUCUUAGAGACCCUUCCCUACUCGAGGCUAUUACAAGAGGUUGCCCGAGGCACUUCUUUCCUCCUCCUGUCUACAGGCUGUAAGUCUCUGCGAGCUUGACGAAGCUGAAUUGCAGUAAAACUGCAUUACCCUGAUACAGAAUCAUAGAAUCACCAAGGUUGGAAAAGACCCACAGGAUCACCCAGUCCAACCAUCCACCCAUCGCCAGCAGUUCUCAUUAAAGUUCUCAUUACAGGUUUAAAUCCCUAGGAAAACUGUGAUAGCUUCACUGGGGCCAAAUAAUUUCGAUUAUUUAAAGUUCAGAAUAUCUUUUCUUAAAAAACAAUAUGCAGAAACCACACGCCUAAUUACUCACAAAACUGUAAUAAUCACUAUAAAAAUGUCAGCAUUUGCCAACAAUUAGCAUACAGAUAUAUAGCUCAGUAUUUAAGGAGGGAAAUUCUGCAUGUUACAGCACAGACUACUGGACUGCUAAAUGUCUUUUUUUUUAAUGUAGCUCAGUGUCUUCUUGGGGUUCUCUAAAGCAGGCAUACCCUAUAGUAGGACAGCUGAUAUAAAAGAGUAAAGGUAGGUUAAAAUUAAUUGUCUGACAUAUGAACCAAACUAAUUGAACAAUGGUGUAAAUCCUUCGAUGCUCUACUGAACUGCAGUGAAGUACAUGCCUGCCAAAAUCCCCCAAAUACUGACUGAACGCCCUUGAAUAUGCAGCCAUGAAUCUUGAUUCUCUUGCUCUUUCCACAACAUAUUUUUUCCACGUUUCUGUUCUAAUCCAUUUGUAUCCCUAGCAGAAAACAUAAAUUACUUUUGUGAGAGAAGC